UACGUAGGUGGCAAGCGUUGUUCGGAAUUAUUGGGCGUAAAGGGCGCGUAGGCGGUCUUGUAAGUCAGCUGUGAAAGCCCGGGGCUCAACCCCGGAGGGUCGGCUGAUACUGUGCGGCUAGAGUGCGGAAGGGGCAACUGGAAUUCUUGGUGUAGCGGUGAAAUGCGUAGAUAUCAAGAGGAACACCUGCGGCGAAGGCGGGUUGCUGGGCCGACACUGACGCUGAGGCGCGAAAGCCAGGGGAGCGAACGGG
Molecule: ribosomal RNA, 253 nt
Filed under: uncultured bacterium
Lineage: Bacteria
Description: partial 16S ribosomal RNA
Rfam family: Bacterial small subunit ribosomal RNA
Source: RNAcentral